RNAcentral lists this long non-coding RNA (2350 nucleotides) under Sus scrofa (pig). Its description in RNAcentral is "lncRNA (ENSSSCG00060038006.1)". The record is from RNAcentral. Lineage: Eukaryota; Metazoa; Chordata; Mammalia; Artiodactyla; Suidae.
UUUGUUGGGUUGGAUGAUUUCCUUUUAUUUUAUGAUUGUGUUCUCUUCUUUUUAUUUUUCGUGGAUGUAACAUUUGGUUUUGAUUUCUGGUUGCCCUGUUUUUCAAGUAUGUUAACCCCUCCCUAUAUCUGCUUGCUUUAGCCUGAUAGUCAUAUAGGCUUAAAAGCAUUCUAAAAAAAAAAAGAGUGGAGAUUUUUUUACUUUCCUUACCCACAUUUUAUGAUUUUGAAGUCCUUUUCUAACAUCUUCACGUUUGUCCUUUUGCCGUUCCUUGUGUUUAUCAUUGCUUUUACAAUAGAUUUUUUUUUCCCUUUGAGAUCUGUAUACUGUCUUAUUUAAGGGACUGCUUUCCAACUGUUAUUUCCUCCAUCCUAUUUCUUCUUACUUCUUUUUUUAUUUAGAGGAGCACUUUCAGUAUUUCUUUUAGAAUGGGUUUAUAUUGCUGUACUCUUUUUUAUAAAAUUUUUCAUUAUUAUUUCCCAAAUACAUUUUUUUUUCCUACCAUACAGCAUGGUGACCCAGUUACACAUGCAUGUAUACAUUCUUUUUUCUCCCAUUAUCAUGCUCCAUCAUAAGUGACUAGACAUAGUUCUCGGUGCUACACAGCAGGAUCUCAUUACCAAUCCAUUCCAAAGGCAAUAGUUUGCAUCCAUUAACCCCAAGCUCCCCAUCCAGCCCACUCCCUCCCCCUCCCCCUAGGCAACCACAAGUCUGUUGUCCACGUCUAUGAUUUUCUUUUCUGUGGAAAGGUUAAUUUGUGGUGUAUAUUACAUUCCAGAUGUAAGUGAUAUCAUAUGGUAUUUGUCUUUCUCUUUCUGACUUACUUCACUCCGAGAGUCUCUAGUUCCAUCCAUGUUGCUGCUACUCAGCCAUAAAAGAGAACAAUGCCAUUUGCAGCAACAAGGACUGCUGUACUCUUUAAGUUUUUGUAUGUUGGAGAAAUUACUUCUCCUUAUAUUUUAGUUUAGUUUCUUUACUGAUCAUUUAUUUUCCAUUAUAGCUGGUUUAUAGUGUUCUGUCAAUUUUGUACAUUUAUGUGGAGGGUUUAUUGCCCUUUUGGGAGGUUUAAGUUCUACCAGCGUUCAGUAGAUGCUCUGUAUGAAUUGUUCUACAUGCCGAUGGGUUUUUUGUUUUUUGGUCUUUUUUUUGCCUUUUCUUGAGCUGCUCCUGCAGUAUAUGGAGGGUCCCAGGCUAGGGGUCUAAUUGAAGCUGUAGCCACCGGCCUACGCCAGAGCCACAGCAACGCAGGAUCCGAGCUGCGUCUGCAACCCACACCACAGCUCACAGCAAAGCCAGAUCCUUAACCCACUGAGCAAGGUCAGGGACCGAACCCGCAACCUCAUGGUUCCUAGUCAGAUUCGUUAACCACUGCACCACGCCAGGAACUCCACGUUUUUGUUUUUGUUUUUGUUUUUGUUUUUAAUGUGUUUGUGGAAGAAGAUGAGCGCCACAUCUUACUACUCCACUGUCUUGAUCCUUGCCCUAUGUUGGGUUCUUAACCCACUGAGCCAAAACAGAAACUCCUGAUGUUACAAUUUUAAAGCAGAAUUCCUUUUUUAAAAUUUUGACUAUAGACUGUUCAGGUAUUAUAGUAGCUUCAAGUGCAGAGCAUAGUGAUUCAGCAUUUUUACAUAUUGUACUCCAUUAAAAGCUAUUACAAGAUACUGACUACAAUUCCCUGUGCUAUAUACUAUAUAUAUAUAUUUUCCACCCCAUGGCAUAUGGAGUUCCCCAGCCAGGAAUCAGAUAUGAGCCACAGUCACAACCUAUGCUGAAGCUUCAGCAAUGCCGGAUCCUUGAACCCACUGUGCAGGGCUAGAAAACGGAACCUGAACCCUGGUACUGUGGAUCCCGCUGAUGCCGUUCUGCUGCAGUGGAAACUCCCAUACAAUAUAUCCUUACUGCCUGUCUACCUAUACAUUUUACUUUGUAUCUCUGAACUCUUUACCCCUCAACUGGCUUUCCCCCUUUCCCUCUCCCCUUUGGUGACUUGGAUAUUAGGAGAGCAAGGUGGGCUCAGCGUAAUCACCAGGGUAGAAGGAAACGUGGAGUGAACUUUAGAGUCAGGCAGUACAAGAAGGACUCCACCACCCCCUGCUGGCUGCAAAGAUGGAGAAAGGGGUCAUGAGAAAAGGAAUUCAGGCAGCUUCUAGACACUGGAACAGCACAGGAACUGAUGCUCCCCUAGAGUUCCAAAAGGAACACUGCCCUGCCAACACCUUGAUUUUGACCCCAUGAGACCUGUGUCAGACUUCUGACCCCAGAACUACAAGAAAACCAAUUUUUUUUUCAGCCACCAUAUUUGUGGCAAAGUAUUACAGCAGCACUAGGUAACAAAACAGGUAUCCAG